This 30-nucleotide non-coding RNA is filed under the name Rattus norvegicus (Norway rat). The record is from RNAcentral. Lineage: Eukaryota; Metazoa; Chordata; Mammalia; Rodentia; Muridae.
UACAUUUCAAAUGUUAUCCCCGUUCCCCCU